RNAcentral lists this ribosomal RNA (484 nucleotides) under uncultured bacterium. Its description in RNAcentral is "partial 16S ribosomal RNA". It matches the Rfam family "Bacterial small subunit ribosomal RNA", at positions 30 to 507 of the family's 1533-position model. The record is from RNAcentral.
AUUGAACGCUGGCGGCAGGCCUAACACAUGCAAGUCGAGCGGAUGAAGGGAGCUUGCUCCUGGAUUCAGCGGCGGACGGGUGAGUAAUGCCUAGGAAUCUGCCUGGUAGUGGGGGAUAACGUCCGGAAACGGGCGCUAAUACCGCAUACGUCCUGAGGGAGAAAGUGGGGGAUCUUCGGACCUCACGCUAUCAGAUGAGCCUAGGUCGGAUUAGCUAGUUGGUGGGGUAAAGGCCUACCAAGGCGACGAUCCGUAACUGGUCUGAGAGGAUGAUCAGUCACACUUGAACUGAGACACGGUCCAGACUCCUACGGGAGGCAGCAGUGGGGAAUUUUGGACCAUGGGCGAAAGCCUGAUCCAGCCAUGCCGCGUGUUUGAAGAAGGUCUUCGGAUUGUAAAGCACUUUAAGUUGGGAGGAAGGGCAGUAAGUUAAUACCUUGCUGCUUUGACGUUACCAACAGAAUAAGCACCGGCUAACUUCGUG